Molecule: long non-coding RNA, 264 nt
Organism: Trifolium pratense (red clover)
Lineage: Eukaryota; Viridiplantae; Streptophyta; Magnoliopsida; Fabales; Fabaceae
Exons: 3
Source: RefSeq, a predicted model, not a curated record
CAACCCAAUCAUGAUUCUGCAAACCCUCCAGCCCAGAAUGUGCAGAUUGAACAACUGCCAGUGGAUAAUAACACAAAUAUGAGGGCUACUCAUGACAGGGAUCAUGCAUCUGAAAUUCCUCCAAGAAUGAACUUGAGUAACAAAGAAGGCAGGCUCUCUUUAAAAAGGAAGCCACUUAAUGGAGAUAAUGUCAUUCAUGAAACUUCUGAUCAAGUUUCUUUAAGGAGAUCAAAAAGAUUGAUUGUUGCCAACAACAAAAUUCAA